UUUUGUGCUGUGACGAUACUUAUGUGGACUAGAGUUUCUGAUAUGGGAAUCUUCAUCCAUAAUUUGAUUACAAACCCUUGGCUGUCUGAGCACAUAUCAUGAAAAUUUGAUCUUGAUUCUUCUCUGUUAAUUCUUUGAUUAUGAUGAUAAUAUACUUUAUCUUAGCGGAUUUCAGUGAGGUUUUAUAUCGAUGAUCUGAAUGUUACACACACUGAGGCCAUUAUUGCUAUUUUUAUAGAAACAUCAAUAGCUUUUUAUUUUGGUUUUAUUACUUUGAUUUUUUUGUUUGUGUUUAAUUGGUGCGAUGAUGAGAUUAAAACACCAAGGAAGUGUUUGUGGGCAGUGGACAUAAUUAUAAUGGUUUUGCCGUGAGCCUAUUUUUAAAACGACUUCUCCUUCCACUGAGCACC
Molecule: long non-coding RNA, 410 nt
Filed under: Medicago truncatula (barrel medic)
Lineage: Eukaryota; Viridiplantae; Streptophyta; Magnoliopsida; Fabales; Fabaceae
Description: lncRNA gene22418
Rfam family: Small nucleolar RNA Z152/R70/R12/ (bases 299-410)
Source: RNAcentral